GCUUCAGUGGCCUAAUGGACCAAGGCACCGGUCUGAUUAACCGGAGAUAUGGGUUCAAUUCCCAUCUGGAGAC
Molecule: transfer RNA, 73 nt
Filed under: Anopheles funestus (African malaria mosquito)
Lineage: Eukaryota; Metazoa; Arthropoda; Insecta; Diptera; Culicidae
Description: tRNA-Ile for anticodon GAU
Rfam family: tRNA
About the family: Transfer RNA (tRNA) molecules are approximately 80 nucleotides in length.
Source: RNAcentral